GUGCUCACUUUGGCAGCACAUACACUGAAAUUGGAACGAUGCAGAGAAGGUUAGCAUGGCCCCUGCACGAGGACAACACACAAAUUCGUGGAGCGUUCCAUAUUUUU
Small nuclear RNA from Molossus molossus (Pallas's mastiff bat), 107 nucleotides. NCBI's taxonomy places the organism in Eukaryota, Metazoa, Chordata, Mammalia, Chiroptera, Molossidae. The record is from RefSeq and is a predicted model, not a curated record.